RNAcentral lists this long non-coding RNA (384 nucleotides) under Mus pahari (shrew mouse). RNAcentral's name for it is "lncRNA (MGP_PahariEiJ_G0006272.1)". Lineage: Eukaryota; Metazoa; Chordata; Mammalia; Rodentia; Muridae. The record is from RNAcentral.
AGCUCUCCACAGCCGGAGGGAGGGGGACAGAGGAUGCACAGACCUCAGCUUCCAGUGUCAGCCUCUGGAAGCAUCCUGGCUCCAGGGACCCUCCAAGGUCAUCUCAUCCAACGCUAUCAAGCCUCUGGUGGGUGAGUCUAGAAGGGGCUCCAAGAACAACACCCUUCGCCUUCCCUGCCUGCAGAGAACGCUCCCUGGGCCAGGAGAAGCUCUGCCCAAGGGCUAACCCUCAGGCCACUCUUUCGGACAGCUUCAUCUGCAGUCAGAAUGACAUCUGCCCUCCUUCUGGCCGAUCCUGACACCAGCUCCUCUCUAGGUUCCAACUCUAUUAUCCCUUAAGCCCCAGUAAUUACAAAUGCAUAAAUAAAUGAAUACAUUUGCUUU